UUAAGCAUAUMAUAAGCGGAGGAAARGAAACUAACCCAGGAKUKCYUCMGKRGCKKCGAGKGAAGCKGGAAGAGCCCAGCACCGAAUCGCACGUCUUUUGGACGUCGCGAACUGUGGUGUUCAGGACCAGCGCAUGCGCGUCGGUCCGGCGUCCGAGUCCUCCUGAUCGGGGCUUUGCCAGAGCGGGUGUCAGCCCUCUACGGCGCCGGUAUCGACGUGCCCGCCACGUCCUCGGAGUCGGGUUGUUUGAUAAUGCAGCCCAAAGUGGGUGGUAAACUCCAUCUAAGGCUAAAUACGGACACGAGUCCGAUAGCGAACAAGUACCGUGAGGGAAAGUUGAAAAGAACUUUGAAGAGAGAGUUCAACAGUACGUGAAACCGUUUAGAGGCAAACGGAGAGGACCGCAAAGUCCGCUCGUCGGAUUCAACCUGUCGGCCGUUCGGCCCGUCCGUCGUCGCAUCCGCAAGGGGCGCGACGGACGGUCGUCUGGGCGGUCGACGGGUGCACUUUCGGCGGGCGGAGCGCCACGACCGGUUCGUCGGCGGUCAGAAGCCCUCGGGGAAGGUGGCCGAUUCCGCAAGGUUUCGGUGUUAUAGACCCGGGCGGCGUUGGCCCGCUGACGGACCGAGGAAGACUGCAUCGCGCGGUCGGUUGCGGCUCUGCUGCUCCGUGCGUCCGUUCGAACUGCGGGGACUGUCGUCAGUGCCCGCUAGCCGCGAGCGUACGGCGGUGGUGGAUGUCCGCGGCCGACUCGGGGUCGGUGGCGAAUCGGUCGGUUACCUGUCCGACCCGUCUUGAGUGACGUUACAAACCUGGUGCACGUUAAAGUUGGAGACAAGUGAGUUGGUGGAGGCGACGAAGGACGCAAGCUUCUGUCAGCUUUCUUCACAUGUUCAGCACAGUCCACCUUUUCGACCGGUCGCUUUUGCCAACCUCGCAGNUGGG
This 945-nucleotide ribosomal RNA is filed under the name Spongilla lacustris. RNAcentral's name for it is "eukaryotic LSU rRNA". The stretch from base 1 to 805 matches the Rfam family "Eukaryotic large subunit ribosomal RNA", at positions 34 to 664 of the family's 3401-position model. The record is from RNAcentral. Lineage: Eukaryota; Metazoa; Porifera; Demospongiae; Spongillida; Spongillidae.